This 555-nucleotide ribosomal RNA is filed under the name uncultured bacterium. RNAcentral's name for it is "partial 16S ribosomal RNA". It matches the Rfam family "Bacterial small subunit ribosomal RNA", at positions 355 to 902 of the family's 1533-position model. The record is from RNAcentral.
UGGGGAAUAUUGGACAAUGGGCGCAAGCCUGAUCCAGCAAUGCCGCGUGUGUGAAGAAGGCCUUCGGGUUGUAAAGCACUUUUAUCAGGAGCGAAACGCUGUCGGCUAAUACCCGGCGGAACUGACGGUACCUGAGGAAUAAGCACCGGCUAACUUCGUGCCAGCAGCCGCGGUAAUACGAAGGGUGCAAGCGUUAAUCGGAAUUACUGGGCGUAAAGCGUGCGUAGGCGGUUUCUUAAGUCUGCUGUGAAAUCCCCGGGCUCAACCUGGGAAUGGCAGUGGAUACUGGGAGGCUAGAGUGUGUCAGAGGGUGGUGGAAUUCCCGGUGUAGCGGUGAAAUGCGUAGAGAUCGGGAGGAACAUCAGUGGCGAAGGCGGCCACCUGGGANANCUGACGCUGAGGCACGAAAGCGUGGGGAGCAAACAGGAUUAGAUNCCCUGGUAGUCCACGCCCUAAACGAUGCGAACGUGGAUGUUGGUCUCAACUCGGAGAUCAGUGUCGAAGCUAACGCGUUAAGUUCGCCGCCUGGGGAGUACGGUCGCAAGACUGAAACUU